AUUGCUUGCAAUCAGAUGGCGACCGGCGCACGGGUGCGUAACGCGUAUACAACCUACCUUUUGCUGAGGGAUAGCCCAGAGAAAUUUGGAUUAAUACCUCAUGGUACCAUGGACCGGCAUCGUUUCAUGGUUAAAGGCCACGGCAGAAGAUGGGUAUGCGUCCUAUUAGUUAGUUGGUAAGGUAACGGCUUACCAAGACAUCGAUAGGUAGGGGCCCUGAGAGGGGGAUCCCCCACACUGGUACUGAGACACGGACCAGACUCCUACGGGAGGCAGCAGUGAGGAAUAUUGGACAAUGGGGGCAACCCUGAUCCAGCCAUGCCGCGUGCAGGAUGACUGCCCUAUGGGUUGUAAACUGCUUUUGUACGGGAAGAAACGCAGCUACGUGUAGUUGUUUGACGGUACCGUAAGAAUAAGGAUCGGCUAACUCCGUGCCAGCAGCCGCGGUAAUACGGAGGAUCCAAGCGUUAUCCGGAAUCAUUGGGUUUAAAGGGUCCGCAGGCUGGCCAAUAAGUCAGGGGUGAAAGUUUUCCGCUCAACGGGAAAAUUGCCUUUGAUACUGUUGGUCUUGAAUUAUUGGGAAGUGGUUAGAAUAUGUAGUGUAGCGGUGAAAUGCUUAGAGAUUACAUAGAAUACCGAUUGCGAAGGCAGAUCACUACCGGUAUAUUGGCGCUCAUGGACGAAAGCGUGGGUAGCGAACAGGAUUAGAUACCCUGGUAGUCCACGCCGUAAACGAUGGAUACUAGCUGUUCGGCGCAAGCUGAGUGGCCAAGCGAAAGUGA
RNAcentral lists this ribosomal RNA (782 nucleotides) under uncultured Bacteroidota bacterium. RNAcentral's name for it is "bacterial SSU rRNA". It matches the Rfam family "Bacterial small subunit ribosomal RNA", at positions 75 to 860 of the family's 1533-position model. Lineage: Bacteria; Pseudomonadati; Bacteroidota. The record is from RNAcentral.